CCACCUUGGGUCCCCCACCACCUAAAUCCCUGGGGAGCCGCUUUCUGCUGCCCCAUUCUGGUGUUUUCCAGCGGCGGAUUCCCAGAGCACGCCCGGAGCGGGGCUGCAGGCCGGCGUUGUUAGCCCCUCCUUUCUCCACCAGCUUCCGCACAGAUCCUUCUGAUUUCAUCACUCUUGACUCUCCGAGGACUGCAAACGCAGUGCAAUAGCCCCGAGCUGCUACCAGAGGUCGCUUAACGUGAGCCAGCUUCCUGAACGUCAUGUGUGUGACCGGAGCCACCAACGCCGGCGGGAGUUUUGAUCUGAUUUAUGAGCUCUACUUUAGAGGCAAAAGAUCCUUUUGGUGAAGAUGCAGCCCCCCAUCCGGUGGGACAACCAGUUUGAGAGGCCUUGACGUGACAUGUGGCAGCUAGAACUUGAGCUCUGAAGGUUCCACUUGCUGCUCUGCAUCGGUGAUGUUCUCCUUUGAAGAUGGCAUCAGCUCCCGCAGAACAAGCGGUCGGAUGCGCUCAGGAAAUGUUUCAGGGAACGCUGCCCUUCGUCCUCCUGGCAGACAGGAGGUGGAAGCUGCUUGGUGGAAAUCAUCAACAAUGUGACCCAUCAGUUGAAGUGAAUCAUCAGCCUGAGCAGGAACCAGCUAGGUGUGUCAAUUCCUCUCUUCCGCUUGGUUAUGUUCUGGGCAGUCCAAUUAAUCUGUUUUAACAAUUAAGCAAAGAAUUUGUUUAAUUCAGAUGAGUGUUUCUCAUUUUGCAAGGGCUUAGUCAUAUCUGGGUGAGAAGCCUGAUCCCAGAUGAUGCUUAAUGUGUUGGUGAUGUGUUUCAGUUGAAGCAGGACCGUGAGCUGGCAGCAUGCAGAGUGCUGGAGAAAUGGUGAGGAGGAAACACCAGGGCUCUGCUUCAAAACCUGUUCCGAGAAGCUAAAACCAGUUUAAUGUUUCUGGGAAAUAACUGGGUCACAGUUUUCCACCUCCAGCUGUGGUGGGUAGGUCUGGACUGUCUCGUACCUCUGGCAGUGGGGGAUGCAGACUCAAGUUAACAUCUUGCUGCUUCAGUAGUCUGUGUCCCCAACCUGCUUGGCUGAGUGACUUCAGAACUAUUGGACUCCACAUGGUGCAACUUUGGAAGAAUCUGACCAAAAAGUGACAAAAGCUGAAAGAUAUUUCCCCUUCUUCCAGACUGGGAGACAAAGACCUGGAGACAUCCAAUUAAAUUUGCAUUCCCAAAUUAACCCAUCAGCACUGCCAGUGGCAAACACCUCCUGGUGCAGGGCCUGGGGGCUUCAGCUGCCUUGGGGUUUUCUCCAGUUCUUGGUGUCUUCUGGGUCAGGAGAGCAGUCUGAUCUCCUCCAGCCCUGCCUGAUUCUUGGAACUUGCACCACUGUCACACUGGGAGGAAGAGGAAUUAAGAUUAAGCUGCUUAGCCUGCAAAGGGAGAGCAGUGCAACUGCACGAAGGGACAGAUGGAGCUUUAAACAUGUCCCAUGGAGUAAAUUACGUAAGUUGUAAUACACCAGAGCUCAUCCUGCUGCAUCAGGGAGAGCACAAUCAGCUGCUGUGUAUAGACCUGAAUUCAUCAAAUUGUCUUCCUUGGCCCCUGGAAAUAACUUCCCACCUCCUGCCUUGGAGCUGCCAUGCAGCUGGGCACCUUCCUGGGCAACCCCAGGGAGCUGCUGACCCAGCACAGGCUGCACAGAACCAGACAGCACCAGGCAGGCUCUGGAUUCCCAGAGUUGUGUUGACAUGUAAAUCAUGUGGAAUUCAUCCCUUGGAUUGAGGGAAUCCUCUGUGAAGCUUUGCUUCCAAAUAUUCUCCAGCAGAUGUCAAGCAUCCAGAGGUAAAUGGCAUUGACAUUGCCCAGGGAGCCACCAAAAGGGUUUUUGGAAAUUCAGGCAAGGACUCAGCAGCAGAUUUACUCAAGGAGCCCAGGAGUGCAGGGCUCCAGGAGUCCAUUUCUGAUGAGACCCAACCCUUAUUUCCCUUAUUUCCUCUUUGAGAAGGAUGGACUCAGCACCACAACCUGUUCCCAUUUCCCCUGUUCCUCCAUCUCAGUUGCCUGAGCACAGCAGGUACUGGUCAGGCUUCCUCUCUCAGUUGAGUGAUUUUCAUUUUCUCUGCUCUGCCCCCAUCAGCAGGGCAGUGGAAAGGGAAGGAUGCAAAACUCUGAAUUUUAUUCCUAUAGCCUGACCAGCUCAACCUGCAAACCAACCCCAGACCAGCUCCAGCACUCACUGGGCAGGUGUCUGCAGGACAAACUCUGUUGCUUCUCCCUCAGAGGGUUCAGAUCUGUGUCUGUCAACCUCCUGCCACCUGCCCCGGGACACAGGAUGCAGAGUUUCACUUUUCUGUGCAAGCUCUGUUGAUUUUCUAACAUAAAUUCUCUUUUAUUUUUGUGUAGCAGAGAUAAGGACAGGCUAGGAGGCAGCUAUUUAGUGAAAGCUUUCAGAAAUGCCUUCUGCAUGACUUCAGUUGUUUUUCCCUCAGACACUGGGAGCAGGGCAAGCCCAACUCUCAGGCAGUUUUCUUCCUUGCUCCCUGUACAUUUCUUUGGACUUGAAAUCCCUGCAGCCCCAUUCCAUGGGGAUCCUCUCCAGGGUGGUGUUUAUGCUGCAGGAGGUUGGGCUCUGGGAGAAGAACUCCUUGUUUACAUUCCUCCAGUUCCCUUUGAGACUGUAGAGAAACUUCAGCUCUGACAGAACCAGCAAGUACCAGUCCCAGUUCUCCUUGGCUCCAGCCACUGUUCUGUCUGUCACCACUGGGGGAAAAAAAAAAUAAUAAAAAAAUUCAACCUCCUCUGUCCCAGUUUCUUUUCUGUCUGCAAAUAAAACUUCCACAUCAAGAGCA
Calypte anna (Anna's hummingbird) is the source of this 2839-nucleotide long non-coding RNA. RefSeq lists it as uncharacterized. The record is from RefSeq and is a predicted model, not a curated record. NCBI's taxonomy places the organism in Eukaryota, Metazoa, Chordata, Aves, Apodiformes, Trochilidae. The transcript is spliced from 2 exons.